CUUGAUUUCAUAUCUCCUCUUCAUUUUCCUUCUUCUGCCCAAACCUUCGUUCUCUGAGUUUCAAUCAGUUUUCUUUCUUUCACCUUUCGAAAUUGGUUCAUUUUUAUUUUUAUGCCGCCAUCAUUUUUUUGCUCCAAAUCUUCCUUUCCUCUUGCUGAUCGUUUAAAAGUGGCUUCCAAGCGCUCCAAAAAAUCUUCUUCUAAAGCUUCCUCCUCUUCUCCAGCGAUCAACCAUGUCAAAAGCCCUAAAACUCUCAAAGAGAAAUACGAUGAGGCGUGCACAGAUUUAAAACGCAAGGGUUGCAUUCCAUCAACUAUUAAUCUCCACCGUUUAUCGGAGGAAGAAAUCAAGAAAUGGCGCUUAGAGGACAUUUGUGCUCCAGACGAAAUCAUCAUGGAUUCCAAACAGCUGGAGUUUAUUUGUCUCCCUCUUCCUCCUCUUUUAAUCCACUUACUGGUGACUACGGAAAUCCAUCUGAUGCUUGUUCCUAAUGACAUACAAUCAGUGUGCGGUGCUGCCAUGAUCGACCCUUUCUUCAAAACGUUUAUUAAUGUUCAAGAUAUCUUCUCCUGCUUUUCGCGUACUUUUCAUCCCUGAAAUGCGGAUGAUCAUCCUUUCAACACUUACUACCUUUCUCCAAGGAAAAAACGCUUCAUGUUCAAAGACCACAUAACGUCCAACAAACAUUGGGAUGAGCUUCCUUUCGCAGUUAGCAGAGAAUGGUUCCUCUCCUAUGUGUGCCCAAGGAUAAUUUCUCCUUGCCCAGAGUUUUUCAACCAGAAAUCGAAUGGCCUUCCAAUGUUUCUUGGUUUGAGCAGCGUUAUCCCAACUCCGUCUUCUCAAAGUCGUGCGUGAGCAUAAAGACUAUGCUAUUUCAAUUGAUUGCAUGUUCAAGAGACCUUUCAAGAGCCUGAUGCUUCGCCUCAAUUUUCCCCACAUCAUUGAUCGUCAAGCCACCUUCUUUCUAGCUGAUUGUAACAAUCAACUAGAGCAGCAGUAUUACGACAAGUAUUCCUUGUGUGUGAAAGCCUACACUGAAGCCCUUGUUUUUCCAUGGACUACCUUUCCACGCAGAAGCUCCUUGUUUCUACCGAUUCUGUGCAAACUGCUGAUGUUGCUAAAGUGAGUUCCGACUCAGAAGCUAAUCGCGGGGUUAACUCUGAGCAGUGUGCCAAUUCCCCUUUGGUAUCUCUCCCAUCAAUCGAGCAUUCUUAAUCUUCUCCUACUGCCAAUCCUCUUCCCACUUUGGUAAUCACUCCCUCUAGUGUUGACCCUUCACUGGCGAUCAUGUCGAGUACUAAUGCACAUCCUGAUGUAGCAGACUUCAUGGUUGCACCUCCUCCACCCACUCCCCAUUCUAAAAGGAACACUGUUGCAACCAAAGGCAAAGGUGUCAAAGAUUUUUCUUCCAAAUCGAGCAAAAGUAAACGUCUUUUGCAAUCUGCGCUUGCUGAUCUGUCUGAGCUUCCCCCUACUCUCAAGUGCGCCAAACUUCCUUCCAUUUCUGAUAACAGAAAUGAAAUUUCUCCUUUGGCUUCCUCUACCAGCUCAUUACCUCAUAGUACUAGUAACUUGCCUUCUUCUAAAAUUCCACCUCUGGCCUCCCUCCUCCCACAUUCUGAUCAAGUAAGAAGAAUUAAUCACAUACUUCAAAGUAUGCUUACUAGAGCUCAAAAUAUCACAACACCACUCACUGGUUCAGAUUCUCUUCACCCUCCUCUUUUGAAUGCAAUCCAUACCACUUUACCAGAUUCUAGUUAUGUUCCUUUUUUUAAUUCAAUCAUAGUCUCUACCACCCUUACUCCACAUUCCAAUGUGCCUCUGCUAGGACUGAUUCCUCAAAUGUCAUAUUGGCUUCUAUUCCAGCUAGUGACAUCCAAAUUCCAUGUGUUUCUACGCCAAAUGCUCCUAUUAUUUCUGCUCAUCCUGUCGUACCAACUUCAGUAGGGUGCAUUACUCCGUUGAGCGCUCUCAAGCAACAUUUGAACUCUGUUCUUCUCAACACCUCAAACCUUUCUGCAUUCGCUACAAGUGAUAGCCCCGGGGUUCUAAAUGUCAAAGAUUUUCAAUUGGUACAACUCUCGUAGGAUCUCCCCGAUCUUUAUAACUCUUAUGACGCUACUGUAGCUACUAUUGAAGCAUCGCUUCCCGCGACCCCCACUUCUCAACUCGCUGGGGAUGCUAUUUUCACCAUAGCUCCAACUACCACUGUCUCAAUUGCUGUAAGUGCUACUCCAACCAUUAUCUUUACUAAUAUGGACAUUCACUGCCCCUUCAUGCCCCCCAAUGAAAUGGCUAAGCAAAAUGAAGUCGAUGCAAUUGUUAAUCUUGUUUGUGUGGGCGGUGAACAAACUGAAACUAUUCCCGUUUCAACAACAUCUCCAUCUGAACAGGUAAUCCCAUCAUGCAGUUCAUUUGACGAAGAGAAAAUUCUGGAGUUGCUUCCAUUACAUGUUGUACCGGUAGCGCUUCAAAUGGGAGGCUCUUUAUCCCUGGCCUUUGUUUCUAAGCAGCUGGAAGCACAUCUCUCUAUGGAGUUGCAAAAAACUCAUGCCAACGAGGACAUGGAUGCUCUCUGCCAUCGCACUGAGAUUGACAUUGCGCUGCAUAGGUCCGCUCUGAGGACAAUUUAGACCGUGUGAGUCAAAAUAGAAUGGCAUUAUUUGAAGCACAGAGUCAGCUUAAACAAGCUGAGGAAGCCAUUCAAGCUGCCCAGGUGACAUAAACUAUGUGCAACAAGCUUAGAACCAAAUGUCAAGAGUUAGAGGCUAAAUUACCAGCCAAUGGUGAUUGGCAAAAGAAGCAUGAAGAACUCGUGGCCACUCAUGCUCAAUGCACUGCACAGGCUGAGAAAAUGGAGGUAGCGCACAAAGCUGCUGUUGAAAAUAUGCGCGAAGCUUGUAAAGCUAAAGAGGAUUUAUGUGCCAAUCUACUUUCAUCAAAAGCUACCUUGGAAAAAGAUGUGGAAACGUUUAAUUCACAAGCCAAGUUAGCUAAAAUAGCGUUUGACUGUAAAGAGAAAGCUUAUCAAUCCACACUGGCUGAUUUAAAGAAAGCUCAGAAAGAGAUUGAUCAACUUUUCUCUGAUCAUGCAACAGAAAUAACGCGUAUGAAUGAGGAGAAGCAACAACUAAAGUUGGCAAUCCAAGACUCUAAAACAAAACUGGAGGCCAUUCAACUUUAAUGUACCACAGUUCGAAUAAUAGAUAGAUACUGCGCGGAACAGAAGAUGAGCAUCAUGGGCCGCACUAACUUAGGCUACUAUCUAGAUUGUCUAAUCGAGCAUGACGAUCAGAGCUUACAGGAUAAGAAGGAUCUACUUCAAGAGUACUGUGAUGACCAAAGAUUAACAGUUGGUCAAUAUAGUGUGGACUUUUAUAUAGAAAAAUUUAGCAAUAUUGACAUCUGCUACCCGGCUGAACAUAUUCAAGCUUUGAGGGAAACUAGCGACCCAGCUAGGUUUAUAAAUGACGCAAGUAGCGUACCAUUCCAAGGUGGUACUAGCGAUAUGUCAGAGUCCUCGGCGCAUAAAGAUGUACCAGAGUCGUCUGCAUUGAAGGAUGUACUAGAGUCAUCUACGCAGAAGAGCACUGUUGAAUCAUCUACUAGGGACGUUGUUGGGGAAUCUGGAGUUUGCAGCAAGUCCCAAACGAUAGAAAUCAAUGUUCCAACUAGGUGUGAUGCCCACGUGGAUUACACCAAUGUGCCUCCCCCGCAGGAACAAACUGAGCAAGGGAACAACAGUAGUUAGUAUUAAUCUAAGUUUUGUAAAUGUUAUGCUAGUUUUUUUGUUCACGUAACUUCCUUUCUACUUGUUCCUCUAAAUAUUGCGUAUGCUCUUUUGAUUUUCAACGUUGAAGUAGACAAUUACUAUCAUUAUGUUAUUGAAGUUGUCAUAGUAAUUAAAUCUAAUAUUUCAUUUCA
Molecule: long non-coding RNA, 3924 nt
Organism: Humulus lupulus (European hop)
Lineage: Eukaryota; Viridiplantae; Streptophyta; Magnoliopsida; Rosales; Cannabaceae
Exons: 4
Source: RefSeq, a predicted model, not a curated record